AAAAACUUAGUUAAAAAAUAACACUAGUUUGUCAAGCUAGAAUUAAUUAUAAAAUUAGUUUUUA
RNAcentral lists this transfer RNA (64 nucleotides) under Tomoxia bucephala. RNAcentral's name for it is "tRNA-Asp". Lineage: Eukaryota; Metazoa; Arthropoda; Insecta; Coleoptera; Mordellidae. The record is from RNAcentral.